AAAUUGAAGAGUUUGAUCAUGGCUCAGAUUGAACGCUGGCGGCAGGCCUAACACAUGCAAGUCGAGCGGAAACGAGUUAUCUGAACCUUCGGGGAACGAUAACGGCGUCGAGCGGCGGACGGGUGAGUAAUGCCUAGGAAAUUGCCCUGAUGUGGGGGAUAACCAUUGGAAACGAUGGCUAAUACCGCAUGAUGCCUACGGGCCAAAGAGGGGGACCUUCGGGCCUCUCGCGUCAGGAUAUGCCUAGGUGGGAUUAGCU
RNAcentral lists this ribosomal RNA (259 nucleotides) under Vibrio alginolyticus. Its description in RNAcentral is "partial 16S ribosomal RNA". It matches the Rfam family "Bacterial small subunit ribosomal RNA", at positions 1 to 246 of the family's 1533-position model. RNAcentral also lists the same sequence under 1 other name. Lineage: Bacteria; Pseudomonadati; Pseudomonadota; Gammaproteobacteria; Vibrionales; Vibrionaceae. The record is from RNAcentral.